Molecule: ribosomal RNA, 497 nt
Filed under: uncultured bacterium
Lineage: Bacteria
Description: partial 16S ribosomal RNA
Rfam family: Bacterial small subunit ribosomal RNA
Source: RNAcentral
GAUGAACGCUGGCGGCGUGCCUAAUACAUGCAAGUCGAGCGAACAGGCGAGGAGCUUGCUCCUCUGACGUUAGCGGCGGACGGGUGAGUAACACGUGGAUAACCUACCUAUAAGACUGGGAUAACUUCGGGAAACCGGAGCUAAUACCGGAUAAUAUAUUGAACCGCAUGGUUCAAUAGUGAAAGACGGUUUUGCUGUCACUUAUAGAUGGAUCCGCGCCGCAUUAGCUAGUUGGUAAGGUAACGGCUUACCAAGGCAACGAUGCGUAGCCGACCUGAGAGGGUGAUCGGCCACACUGGAACUGAGACACGGUCCAGACCCCUACGGGAGGCAGCAGUAGGGAAUCUUCCGCAAUGGGCGAAAGCCUGACGGAGCAACGCCGCGUGAGUGAUGAAGGUCUUCGGAUCGUAAAACUCUGUUAUUAGGGAAGAACAAAUGUGUAAGUAACUAUGCACGUCUUGACGGUACCUAAUCAGAAAGCCACGGCUAACUACGUG